UGAGUAAUGUCUGGGAAACUGCCUGAUGGAGGGGGAUAACUACUGGAAACGGUAGCUAAUACCGCAUAACGUCGCAAGACCAAAGAGGGGGACCUUCGGGCCUCUUGCCAUCGGAUGUGCCCAGAUGGGAUUAGCUAGUAGGUGGGGUAACGGCUCACCUAGGCGACGAUCCCUAGCUGGUCUGAGAGGAUGACCAGCCACACUGGAACUGAGACACGGUCCAGACUCCUACGGGAGGCAGCAGUGGGGAAUAUUGCACAAUGGGCGCAAGCCUGAUGCAGCCAUGCCGCGUGUAUGAAGAAGGCCUUCGGGUUGUAAAGUACUUUCAGCGGGGAGGAAGGGAGUAAAGUUAAUACCUUUGCUCAUUGACGUUACCCGCAGAAGAAGCACCGGCUAACUCCGUGCCAGCAGCCGCGGUAAUACGGAGGGUGCAAGCGUUAAUCGGAAUU
Molecule: ribosomal RNA, 449 nt
Filed under: Escherichia coli
Lineage: Bacteria; Pseudomonadati; Pseudomonadota; Gammaproteobacteria; Enterobacterales; Enterobacteriaceae
Description: bacterial SSU rRNA
Rfam family: Bacterial small subunit ribosomal RNA
Source: RNAcentral